This is a long non-coding RNA of Amphimedon queenslandica, 196 nucleotides long. RefSeq lists it as uncharacterized. The transcript is spliced from 2 exons. The record is from RefSeq and is a predicted model, not a curated record. NCBI's taxonomy places the organism in Eukaryota, Metazoa, Porifera, Demospongiae, Haplosclerida, Niphatidae.
CUUUUAAUUAGAAAACCCAGGGCAGCAGGAGAAGCAGAAUUCGCUGGCAGUUGAAGUUUUCUAGAAAAGAGAAAGAGAGAGAAAGAGGAGGAGGCGAAGGGAGAGAGCGAGAGAAAAGGAGCACACUAUUACUAAUACUUGCUUGCCUGUCUCGGUCCUCUCCAUCUCCUCCUGUUACUAUGGCAACACCUCAACA